Molecule: ribosomal RNA, 430 nt
Filed under: Bacillota bacterium
Lineage: Bacteria; Bacillati; Bacillota
Description: Firmicutes bacterium partial 16S ribosomal RNA
Rfam family: Bacterial small subunit ribosomal RNA
Source: RNAcentral
UGGGGAAUAUUGGACAAUGGGCGGAAGCCUGAUCCAGCCAUGCCGCGUGUGUGAAGAAGGCCUUUUGGUUGUAAAGCACUUUAAGCGAGGAGGAGGCUACUUGGAUUAAUACUCUAGGAUAGUGGACGUUACUCGCAGAAUAAGCACCGGCUAACUCUGUGCCAGCAGCCGCGGUAAUACAGAGGGUGCGAGCGUUAAUCGGAUUUACUGGGCGUAAAGCGUGCGUAGGCGGCUUCUUAAGUCGGAUGUGAAAUCCCUGGGCUUAACUUAGGAAUUGCAUUCGAUACUGGGAAGCUAGAGUAUGGGAGAGGAUGGUAGAAUUCCAGGUGUAGCGGUGAAAUGCGUAGGGAUCUGGAGGAAUACCGAUGGCGAAGGCAGCCAUCUGGCCUAAUACUGACGCUGAGGUACGAAAGCAUGGGGAGCAAACAGG